RNAcentral lists this ribosomal RNA (490 nucleotides) under uncultured bacterium. RNAcentral's name for it is "partial 16S ribosomal RNA". It matches the Rfam family "Bacterial small subunit ribosomal RNA", at positions 30 to 507 of the family's 1533-position model. The record is from RNAcentral.
AUUGAACGCUGGCGGCAGGCCUAACACAUGCAAGUCGAACGGUAACAGGUAGCAGCUUGCUGCUUUGCUGACGAGUGGCGGACGGGUGAGUAAUGUCUGGGAAACUGCCCGAUGGAGGGGGAUAACUACUGGAAACGGUAGCUAAUACCGCAUAACGUCGCAAGACCAAAGAGGGGGACCUUAGGGCCUCUUGCCAUCGGAUGUGCCCAGAUGGGAUUAGCUAGUAGGUGGGGUAACGGCUCACCUAGGCGACGAUCCCUAGCUGGUCUGAGAGGAUGACCAGCCACACUGGAACUGAGACACGGUCCAGACUCCUACGGGAGGCAGCAGUGGGGAAUAUUGCACAAUGGGCGCAAGCCUGAUGCAGCCAUGCCGCGUGUAUGAAGAAGGCCUUCGGGUUGUAAAGUACUUUCAGCGGGGAGGAAGGGAGUAAAGUUAAUACCUUUGCUCAUUGACGUUACCCGCAGAAGAAGCACCGGCUAACUCCGUG